This 496-nucleotide ribosomal RNA is filed under the name uncultured bacterium. RNAcentral describes it as "partial 16S ribosomal RNA". It matches the Rfam family "Bacterial small subunit ribosomal RNA", at positions 30 to 523 of the family's 1533-position model. The record is from RNAcentral.
AUUGAACGCUGGCGGAAUGCUUUACACAUGCAAGUCGAACGGUAGAGGGGGCAACCCCUCGAGAGUGGCGAACGGGUGAGUAGUAUAUCGGAACGUGCCCAGUCGUGGGGGAUAACGUAGCGAAAGUUACGCUAAUACCGCAUACGAUCUAAGGAUGAAAGCGGGGGAUCGCAAGACCUCGCGCGAUUGGAGCGGCCGAUAUCAGAUUAGGUAGGUGGUGGGGUAAAGGCUCACCAAGCCAACGAUCUGUAGCUGGUCUGAGAGGACGACCAGCCACACUGGAACUGAGACACGGUCCAGACGCCUACGGGAGGCAGCAGUGGGGAAUUUUGGACAAUGGACGCAAGUCUGAUCCAGCCAUUCCGCGUGCAGGAUGAAGGCCCUCGGGUUGUAAACUGCUUUUGUACGGAACGAAAAGGUCUCUCUUAAUACGGGGGGCUCAUGACGGUACCGUAAGAAUAAGCACCGGCUAACUACGUGCCAGCCGCCGCGGUAA